GAUCAGAAGUGCAGAGCAGCUUAGUUGAAUGUUAACUCUUUCAUUUCUGGGCCAGAUGUCAUCUGAACUUAGCUUUUUUAAAAAUGAUGAUGAUGAUUUUCCAGCUUUAAAAGUGAUGUUAUGUCUUUAAUAUGAAAAAAAAAAAAGUUUUUUGAGACACACAAAAAACAGCUUUUUUUUUUUUUAACUGAAUAAGGUGGGGGGGGGGAAGGGAAGACCUGUAUUAACUUGGAAUUUUUUUUUUUUUUAAUGAUUCUGGCAAUUUGGUAGACUAAUAAAAUGUUUGGAGGUAGUAUUAAAUUUCAAAAUCUGUUUUUCUUUUGAGAGAAACAAGGCUAUGAUCCAUGACAUUUUGCUACCUUUCAAGACAUCUUUU
Molecule: long non-coding RNA, 376 nt
Filed under: Bos taurus (domestic cattle)
Lineage: Eukaryota; Metazoa; Chordata; Mammalia; Artiodactyla; Bovidae
Description: long non-coding RNA NONBTAT006731
Source: RNAcentral